AGGGCGCGGAGGAGGCGCCGGGAGAAGCUGCGGGAAGGCAGAGGAGGGUGCAGCUCUGCGCGGGUCCCCUGGAGAGACGCCUCCUCAUAACCCGGCUCACGGCCGCAGAGGCGGCCCACCGCGUCCAGGCGCCCCCGGUCCCUCGGUGCCCUCCAACCGCCGCGCCUCAGACCAUGCCGG
This 180-nucleotide long non-coding RNA is filed under the name Sus scrofa (pig). RNAcentral describes it as "lncRNA (ENSSSCG00030058369.1)". The record is from RNAcentral. Lineage: Eukaryota; Metazoa; Chordata; Mammalia; Artiodactyla; Suidae.